This 168-nucleotide ribosomal RNA is filed under the name uncultured bacterium. RNAcentral's name for it is "partial 16S ribosomal RNA". It matches the Rfam family "Bacterial small subunit ribosomal RNA", at positions 1334 to 1500 of the family's 1533-position model. The record is from RNAcentral.
GCUAGUAAUCGCGAAUCAGAAUGUCGCGGUGAAUACGUUCCCGGGUCUUGUACACACCGCCCGUCACACCAUGGGAGUCAGUAACGCCCGAAGUCAGUGACCCAACCAAGUAAGGAGGGNCUGCCGAAGGUGGGACCGAUAACUGGGGUGAAGUCGUAACAAGGUAAC